Rattus norvegicus (Norway rat) is the source of this 46-nucleotide non-coding RNA. The record is from Rfam. Lineage: Eukaryota; Metazoa; Chordata; Mammalia; Rodentia; Muridae.
AAAUUGGCUUCUUUAGAAGCCACCAGUUCUUUCAAUGACUGAACCU